Molecule: long non-coding RNA, 3262 nt
Organism: Centrocercus urophasianus (Greater sage-grouse)
Lineage: Eukaryota; Metazoa; Chordata; Aves; Galliformes; Phasianidae
Exons: 5
Source: RefSeq, a predicted model, not a curated record
CUCAAAAUGGAGCACAGGCUGGAUUUUUCCCCAUGGUUGCGAAGGCAGCUCCAUUUUGAAGAAGGAAGUUCAGUAAUUGCUGCCUGACAGACCUCCCUGUCAACUCUCUGGGAUAUCAGUGCUGGAUUGUUUGCUGGGAAAACAUCUAAAGUCAACAGAGGGAGGUACUGGAAAUAGCAUUCAGAUGGGCAGGGGAUAUCUAGUGGUCAGAUGGAAGCACAUGAAAGAGUCGUGCUGAAGCUGGAGGUGGCUCUGAUGGUUCCCCAGUAUGGAUUUAUAUCCCAGUGGAACUUGUACUUCUGGUAAUCAAAGACUGUAAGUGUAUCCUGCCUGGACUGCUCAUAUUGCUGGUGACAAGUGAUGCUAAAGUGACUGCACUGUCAGCUACUGGAAGCCUCAGGCAACAUGCAGCAGGCUACAUACAGGGCUGGUUGCCUUAACUGCUUUUGACAUUUCUUCUCUCUGACCAUGAGGUUGCUGAGAUGGGAAGAUUAAGUUGCUCGUGGAAGAAUGAGACCUGACACAGGUGUGGAUUGAAGCUUUCAGCUGAAAGAGAACACCCACGUGGGAAACUUCAGCUCCUUCAGUUAGCAUUUAACAGAAUCUGCAGCAGUUGAGAGCAGGGUCAUCCUGCAUGUGGGCAGCGCAGAGCUUCAGCAGGACAGAAUGACCUCAGAAUGGACUCAUUGUCAUCUUUCUAGCUUCUGUGAGAGCAGUGAGAAUGGCUACCUCCUGGAGUCAGCACUAGAGAGGGAUGGAGUCCCAUUGGUACAAGACACAUAAGGAACUUAGCUGCAAAUCCAAAAGAAUCUGAGAGUGGAAAGUGGGACAGUCCAGUGGGUGCAAACCAGGAGCCCCGAGGAGAAUCCUGUGAGUUAAUUACUGAGCUUUGGGCUUUGCCUUCUGACUCUGGGCCUUUCUGACCAUCACUUCCUUGCCUUCCCUCUUGUCUUUCAAACACCUACCCAUGUCAGUUUCCUUGUCCCACACCUCACUCAGCUUUGACCUACAGCUUUUCACCUGCAUCUCUUCUGCUUUGCUGGGUCUUACACAGAAUUAACUUGCUUGCUUCCCACUUCCUCAACUUCAUUGCACAGACUUCCCAUGCAGACAAGGCAGAGAUCUCUGGAAGACAUCCUUGGAGAAAGAGUAAAAAAAAAAAUAAGGAAAAAUGUAAGUAGUUAUAUUCCCUACAGUGCUAUGCAGAUUCCCUAUCAACUUUGGGAGUUCAGGCUUGAGAAAUUAGGACGUUUAACCAGAUGUCUGGGAUAGACUGAUGACUUCAAAUGUCUUAAUAUUGCAUUACCUAAAAUUGCUGUAAAAGGGAAUAGGAGAGAUUAGAUACAGCACUGAAUGGAAAUCAAACAGCUUUGACAUGUCUUUGGGCACCUGACAUGGGAGCAGCCAAAACCUCUAAUUACCUGGAAUUUUGGCUUAACUAGUACAGUGGGGAGCUGAACACCAGGCUUUCCUUUAAAAGAAAGGAGAGUUAAACAUGCAGUAUUUCAACUGUAUUUAUAUUAAAAAAGAGAGAAAAGUUCCAUCUGCUUUUUUGUUUUGCACACAGAGAAACUUCAAAGACUUUUUCAUUGUUUAUUUUUAUAGAUGGAGUUAUAAAAACAUAUAUACAACUGUACAAAUACACAGCAUUGAACAACAGAAGGGCGUGUGUAUGUGUACAUAUACACUCACACUGAAUUAUAGAUUCAUGGUGGAUCCAAAACCACUUAUUUAUGUAAACAAGCCAUGAGUGCAGGGCAUGAUCCCUCAGAAAGUACCGCCCUGAUAAGAAAUCGUGCUUUUGGAUGAGCAGGUUGGGGAGCUGCACGUUGGCAAGGACAGGAAGGGUCACCUCCUGCUGAAUGCGCGCUGCUGGAACAUCCCUGGUCCUGCUGGGGCUGCAGCUCUCUGGUCCUGCAAACCUUGCUAUUUGAAUCUGACGGCAGCAGCUUUCCCCUUCCAAGUGCCAUAUCACUCCCUGGCACACUGUGUGCCUUGGCUGAAUCCCUCAGUGCCCUGGUGGCUGCAUGUGAAGCUGUGCAAAGCCUGGCUGAGCAUGGCAGCGGCUGCACCUUGUACCUCUUGUGUGCAGGAUGAACCAAGGCAAAUCCUAAGUUGUCGCAUUGCAUUUGGAGUAGUGACAACUCUUCAACGUAUGGAAAGGGGCCAGCUACCAGACCAGCUCAGUUUUCCUUGUUUAAUCUCUUAAGCACAUUUUCAGGCUUAACUGCUUGAGUGGCAGAACCCCCAUCAGCAAUUUAAAAAAGCAAUUAUUGUGAAUCUGUUCAGAAAAUACUUUUAUCUGCAAGAUCCUGCCCAGCUACCACAUAAUGGAAAUGGUAUGAAUCACCCUGAAAUAUUAAUUGAUAAGAUUUAUGACCUUAAAAAUAUUAUGAAGAACAGAUUAUAAGACAUGCGCAGUUUGGCUCUGUCCAAGGGGGACACAGCAUUUUAAUGAAAGAGUGCUAAUUAUCACAAAAAAAUGGUGGAAAAUUCUUCAGUGGAGAAGAAAAGUUCCACGUGUGAUCAGUCGUGCAUUAUGCCCUUCAUGUAACACAAAAGAGAGCACACCAGAUAGGUUACAGCUCUGCAAAUCCCUACUGGAAAAGCUGCAUUUGCAGAGUAUUUUUCAGAGCUAUGUGCUCUUCUGAGCCUCCAUUGCAGAGGCGUGCACGGCAGCUCCGCUCCCUCUCAUCUUCCUGCUGCUAGCUGCUCAGUUUUCAUAAGAACGAGCUAUUGUCUGUAGUUAUUGAAUGACAUUUUGGAGAAUUUCCAUCUGUAUUUUAUUGUGCAUGCCAUGAAACUUCCACCACCCUCCACUGGUUAUCGCGUUGUCGGAGAUUAAAGAGAGCCAGUGGCUCGCCUAAUUCACCGCCUCGCUCCUGCUCAAGCUUGUCCUAUUUUCAGAAGUGUUUACCUGAUUAGCACAUGCAAUUACUGAUGUGUGCAUAAGGCUCAGCUUGGGUUUUGAAUGUUCCCUGAACCUUUCCUUCUAGAUCAAAGCUCCCACGUCCUCCCGCGCUCCAUCAGCCUCCCGUUGCAGUCAGUGCGACUUUGGCUGUUAACUUUGGCCCGCGAGCACAUUCCUGCAGCUCAGGAUUAGGUGUGGGCUCCAGCGCUGUGCUGCACCACGACCUUUGUUAGACACAGCAUCUGAGCCGCCGUGUUUUUACAUUAUCAGUCAGCGGUGAAUUCCUUACCCAUUUUUUUAAUGACUUUUGCAGAGAGCGGUCAGAUGCUAUUAAAGUUUUACUGAAUUAAA